GCCUCUGUGGAUCAUGGUACCUGAUCGCCUUGAUUUGACGGGAAACAUUCGAAGGCUAAUGUAAAAUUCAUCGAGAAGAUGGAGGUUCGAUUCCUCCCAGAGGCA
Non-coding RNA from Mycena polygramma, 105 nucleotides. The record is from the annotation of a GenBank genome assembly. Lineage: Eukaryota; Fungi; Basidiomycota; Agaricomycetes; Agaricales; Mycenaceae.